UAAAGUUCAAUUAAUAAAGACAGGCUCGAAUGUAAUUCACAUAAUCGAUUAAUAAAUCAAGUACUUGCUAAUAGAACUACUUAUGGGCAGUGUUUCCUACUUUCAAAAGAACCAAUUUAACAGGAACUGUCGCUUUCGUGUAUUCAGAACCGAGUUGUACUCCCUAAUCAAACCCUCUUAUUGUCAUUUAUAAAAAGGCGC
RNAcentral lists this long non-coding RNA (201 nucleotides) under Lathyrus oleraceus (garden pea). RNAcentral describes it as "Pisum sativum (pea) long non-coding RNA (PSAT_LNC026803)". Lineage: Eukaryota; Viridiplantae; Streptophyta; Magnoliopsida; Fabales; Fabaceae. The record is from RNAcentral.